GGGGUCCUUUUGCUAGCCACGGAGACAUGAACAUGUUUAUGAAGUUUCCUACCCUGACCACGUUUGGUACCCUCUUUGAAUUAUUCCUUAGAGACACAAGACCCAGAGGCAGGGAGUAACACUGGGAAAGACGUUCUUCUUUUAAUGGUAAAAACUUUAUUUACUAUUUAUAAAUACAUUGCAAGACAAACUUUUCAAAAAUACUUUUUUUCCCCAAAAACUUAAAAAAAUAGGUAGGCAGAACAUCUCGAGAGCCCUUGUAGUUAUCAAGGGAGCUCCACGCAGUGGGUCCACCCUGGGACCUCAGGCCUGGCCUUGGGGACCACGGGUGGCAACGGCAUGAGCUCCUUUCCUCGGUCACGGCCACGGUUGGUUAUAUCAUCUAGCAUCUCUACCAUUUUCUCUAGGAUUAUCUAGUGUAGAUCCUAUUAUAUUUGGGCUAUGUGGUAUACACUGUUAACAAUUAAUUAAGAACACAUCUCCGUAUAUAUGUAUGAGUGGUAAGGAGUGUGUGUGAGAAGAAUUCCAAGUUCAACCAACACAGGUCAGAGAUCUCUAAGUGUCCCAGUGUCCUCGACAGGCUCCCAGCAAGCUGGUCAUCUUUCCUGUUUAGAUUUUUGUUUUUUCUUUUACAUUGUGCAAAGCAGGAUACAGGUAAGAGAUGAAAAUAAAAUUUUGCUUUAAAGAGCUUAACCUCAAAAAUCUUGUUUUGAGGAGUUGAACUAGAAAACACUACUUUCUGCAGUCAUCUGAAGAAUCGUUGCUCAAAAGGCCUCUCAACGCCAAGGCUGAUUGCUGCCCCUGCCUCUCCUGCCCCGUGGGACCAAGGCCUAGGUGACCCCAGCCACCCAGCCUUCCAAAGGGGCUGUCAUGAGGAGGACCCCAGAUGCAGGGUCACCCACACCUGCCGACAGGUUCCUGGGCAUCCUGCUGUUAAGACUGCAUCUUAAUCUCUCCAGUAGUUUCCAAAGUAGAUUAGGUCAUCUCCAGAUGAUGGACAGUCUUUAUGGUCGAGACCCAGGCUCCUGAUUCGAAGAGGUCCCCCUCGGGUUAUGUUGGCAGGCGGUGUCAGGACGUCCAGGUGACUGGAGUUGAGGCUUUUCCUAUUCUCCUAGGCCUGUGCUCAUUUUACAGAGGGUGGGGGAGAAGCUCAUUUGCUGACGUCUCGAGGUGGGAGGGUCGGGCUGGGUCGGGUUGUCCCCUUAGCGGAUGAGGGCCUGGGAGGGGAGCCGUCCGUGGAGCGAGGUUUACAGGUAGCAACUAGAAAAUUCGAACUGCUUUUCGCUAAUUACUGGAAAGAUCUCAAGUUUACCACUUAAAGGAACCAUAGGGAUUUCAAAAAUCUGUCUAAACUUUGGUUUUUUUAAAAAAUCAGUUCACCACAAAAAGAAAUAUAAAUCGAGGCUGUAGCCAGCUGCUGAGCAUGUCCUUGGCAGUCUUUUGUGCAAAAUAAGGCGUAUUUGAGCUCCACAUUAGCUAGAACAAAAAGAAAAGAAAAACAUUGAAAUAACCACCCAGAAAAUGAAGAGUUCAACUUCUGCCCUAGUGCUGGGCUGGGCUCUCUACCUUUUUCUCCCCGUUUUUAUUUCUUAUUGGUAGUCCACAGUGAUUAUACCCCCCUGCGUAGUAGAGUUGGUCCAUGUAGAGAACACAUCUUCAUUCUUCUUUCCAUCCCCUUUCCCUCUCUUCCCUUCAUCUCUUGAUCCCCUUCCCAUUUGAAAAGUAUCUUCCUAUUUUCUAUUAGCUAUCUUUUAUUUAUAUUUUGGGUUUCUCAUAGAAAUCAUGGGAUAUUGAAGCUUAUUGUGUGUCUGGUUAAUUUCACUAAAUAUUAUGGUCUCAAGGUGCAUCCAUUUGCCUAUGAAUGACUCAAGUUUAUUCUUUAUGGCAGAGUAGUACUCCAUUAUGUAUAAUACCACAUUUUCUUUACCCAUUCAUCUGCUGAUAGAUAUAUAGGCUGUUCCCAAAAUUUGGCUAUUAUAAAUCAUACUGUUAUAAACAGAACUUCCAUUUGAUCCAGCUGCUCUCCUCCUAGGUAUCUUCCCAAGAGUUAAAAACAUGAUAAAUCAAAGCUAAGUGUUUAUUGUUAAAAGGCUACCCUAAAAUUAAAACUAUUUUCCCUAACUUGUGAGGAAAAGAAUCUUCUAAAAAUGAAAAUUUC
Heterocephalus glaber (naked mole-rat) is the source of this 2158-nucleotide long non-coding RNA. Lineage: Eukaryota; Metazoa; Chordata; Mammalia; Rodentia; Bathyergidae. The record is from Ensembl.